ACCCCUGGGCUGGUGGCCCUGGGUGGGGUGAGAAUGUGGCUUAUCAAGCCACAAGGAAUAAGCCAGUAAGCAGUGCUCCUCUGUGGCCUCAGCUUUCAGCCCCUGCUUUGAGUUCCUGCCCUGACUAAUUUGUCUUGAGUCACAUCUCUCCUCCAACGUUAGUAUGUGUGAUACUCUGUGACUAGACUGAAGAUCUAUGGGGAAAUUAGAUUUGGCAUUAGAAGGCAGGCUGGCUUGAGAAAAUGAUGGGCCGUGUCCAGGGUGAGCAUCCAGAGCUGAGGUACUGUAUGAGUUUAAGUCUGUUCCACUCUUUGCCAGGUGGAUCUGGAAAAAUACUGUUCUGCCAACUUCUCCAAGCAAGUCGGGUUUAGUUAAAAGGGGUUAUUUUGUGUAUUUUGUUG
This 401-nucleotide long non-coding RNA is filed under the name Mus caroli (Ryukyu mouse). RNAcentral's name for it is "predicted gene 43475 (MGP_CAROLIEiJ_G0006207.1)". Lineage: Eukaryota; Metazoa; Chordata; Mammalia; Rodentia; Muridae. The record is from RNAcentral.